UACUUUGGAGGCAAAAUGUAGCAGUGUGUUAGAGAUGAUACUGGACAUACUGGAAAGGAUCAGUUACAGUAUCGUAUUGAGUUCUGAAGUAAGUAAAGGCCUAUACUUUUGCCAACAUUCUCUAUUGAGGCGUUUUUGCAGUAGGACAGUUAGAGCAAAAUCAGGGGAUCAUGGCAAAAUCUAAAAGUGCGUCACACCAUCUGGAGUUCUGACUUUGAACAGGUCAUGGAUAUCUCAAAGCAGUUUUGAUGGUUUGGACUACAUGCCUGGCACAUCAAUGAUGGCUGGAAGAGCCUGGUCUGUUGGUGUUCCUUGCAAAAAUGGAUAGCAGGGUGGUCAGUCAAUCUUUGUGGCGCCAAAGUCUGUCCUGCUGGUGGAUGGUGGGAAGACCAUUUGGGUGCAAGCGCUGGGGGUGACUCCUAGUGUGCUUGGCCAGGGAAUUACUUGUGCCAUCCAGAGACAUGUGACAGAGUAUGCCUGCAGUCACUUUCCACAACUCACUUGCCCGAAAACUGUGCCCAGGACAGACCCAUCAUCUGAAAAACGGUCUAUCGCCUGUUGGCCAUAGAGGUGGUCUCCCCUCCCCAUUCGACUGUAAGCCAAUGGAGGGUGUCUGAGAGCUACACUUUGCUGUUUCACUCAGACUUGAGAGAGAAGCAGGUUGUGCAGACAUGGCUCUCAGAAAAGGAUCUUCCUCUGUUGCCCUCUCUGGGUGGUCAUCUGAAGUGCAGAUGAACCCAGCUGAUGUCCCUGGCCUGGAGUGUUCGAGGGCCUGGCUGUGGAGUUACAGGAGGACAGUCAAGAGGUGCUGGAGAUCUGUGUUGCUCUACUCCUCCACAAGAGCAUCAUCUCUUUCAGUCAAGCCCUAAAGCUGGCCCAGGGC
This is a non-coding RNA of Oncorhynchus mykiss (rainbow trout), 883 nucleotides long. Lineage: Eukaryota; Metazoa; Chordata; Actinopteri; Salmoniformes; Salmonidae. The record is from RefSeq and is a predicted model, not a curated record.